RNAcentral lists this ribosomal RNA (492 nucleotides) under uncultured bacterium. RNAcentral's name for it is "partial 16S ribosomal RNA". It matches the Rfam family "Bacterial small subunit ribosomal RNA", at positions 29 to 507 of the family's 1533-position model. The record is from RNAcentral.
AGUGAACGCUGGCGGUAGGCCUAACACAUGCCAGUCGAACGGCAGCACAGUAAGAGCUUGCUCUUACGGGUGGCGAGUGGCGGACGGGUGAGGAAUACAUCGGAAUCUACUUUUUCGUGGGGGAUAACGUAGGGAAACUUACGCUAAUACCGCAUACGACCUACGGGUGAAAGCAGGGGAUCUUCGGACCUUGCGCGAUUGAAUGAGCCGAUGUCGGAUUAGGUAGUUGGCGGGGUAAAGGCCCACCAAGGCGACGAUCCGUAGCUGGUCUGAGAGGAUGAUCAGCCACACUGGAACUGAGACACGGUCCAGACUCCUACGGGAGGCAGCAGUGGGGAAUAUUGGACAAUGGGCGCAAGCCUGAUCCAGCCAUACCGCGUGGGUGAAGAAGGCCUUCGGGUUGUAAAGCCCUUUUGUUGGGAAAGAAAAGGAGCAGGUUAAUACCCCGCUGUUCUGACGGUACCCAAAGAAUAAGCACCGGCUAACUUCGUG